RNAcentral lists this ribosomal RNA (773 nucleotides) under uncultured bacterium. RNAcentral describes it as "bacterial SSU rRNA". It matches the Rfam family "Bacterial small subunit ribosomal RNA", at positions 10 to 793 of the family's 1533-position model. The record is from RNAcentral.
AGUUUGAUCCUGGCUCAGGACGAACGCUGGUGGCGGGGCUAACACAUGCAAGUCGAACGAGGCUUUCCGGUGCUUGCACUGGAAAAUCGAGUGGCGAACGGGUGAGUAAUACAUGAGAAACCUGCCUUGGAGACGGGGACAACCUCGGGAAACUGAGGCUAAUACCCGAUAUCCCUGCCGAGUCGCAUGACUUGGCAAGAAAAUACUCAGGUGCUCCAAGAGGGUCUCAUGCCCUAUCAGCUUGUUGGUGAGGUAAAAGCUCACCAAGGCUUAGACGGGUAGCUGGUCUGAGAGGACGAUCAGCCACACUGGGACUGAGACACGGCCCAGACUCCUACGGGAGGCAGCAGUGGGGAAUCUUGCGCAAUGGGCGAAAGCCUGACGCAGCCACGCCACGUGUGGGACGACGGCCCUCGGGUUGUAAACCACUUUCAGCAGGGACGAAAAUGACGGUACCUGCAGAAGAAGCCCCGGCCAACUACGUGCCAGCAGCCGCGGUAACACGUAGGGGGCGAGCGUUGUCCGGAAUUACUGGGCGUAAAGGGCUCGUAGGCGGUUUGGUAAGUCAGAUGUGAAAACUCCAGGCUCAACUUGGAGACGCCAUCUGAUACUGCCAUGACUAGAGUUUGGUAGAGGAGUGCAGAAUUCCCGGUGUAGCGGUGAAAUGCGCAGAUAUCGGGAGGAAUACCAGUCAGCGAAGGCGGCACUCUGGGCCACAACUGACGCUGAGGAGCGAAAGCGUGGGGAGCGAACAGGAUUAGAUACCCUGGUAG